CCAAUUAUUUUUCUGUUGACUUCUAUUUGAACCAGUACAUCAUUAAAGAAAUCUGGAUUUGAUUCAAAGACUUCAAGCAAGAGACUCUACAACAUCUCUAGACAAGGUUCCCUUUGUUUAAUUGCCCUUACUACUAAAAAUUUACACCCUUAUAUACAAGUCUGGAUUUAUCUGGCUGCUUCUCCCAGCUAAGGAAUUUUAUUAAGGCUUGUUUUUCUAGAUUAAAAGAACCAUCUACUAACAGAAAACUCUGCGUAUGCACAUACCACAGCAUGAAUGGAAUGGGAUCUUAGCAUGUCCCAGCAAACCAGGAGAUGGAUCCUCAGAUGGUGUAAAAUGAGAUUGUUUCACUGAGAGCACUGAGGUCAAUGAUGCUUUACACUAGCUCUGGCUCAAGUUUUUCAUAAGGCCUGCCUCGGGAAGGAGAUGCUGGCAUAUUUGUACCUCUCAGGCACACUUUUCAAAAGAGAGGGACUUAAGAAGUCACACAGGGAAGAGGGUAACCACCUUUGAAGUAGAACAUGGCAACUGUGACACAGAAUAAGUCCUUCUGAAUGUAUCAAAUGUCCAAGAUGUGUGGCAUCUCAGGAGACAGGCUGCAUGAAGUCAAUACAAACUUCUGGAUGGCAGCCUAGGAAUAGGCCAUCCAUAAGACACUUGCAAGGACAGUAGCAAAAACUUUUACCUCUUACUGUAAACAGUUCUGUGUGUAGGUUCCUGUAUAAUAUAAAGAGCUUUUGACACACCACAAGGCCCAUGAAGAUACCACAACAUCUAUGUAAGAACACAAACUAAGAUUAAUACAGAUCAGAAGGAGAAAGAUGAACCAUUUAUGCUGCCUAAAAUUAGACCUCCUUCUGCAAACAUAACACAGAGACAUCUUUCCAGUGAAGUCUUUGUCUUUCCUCAAAGGAAAAGCCCAUAUCCCUUCAAAAUAGGCUUUCCUGGCAGAAUAUCCUGUUUUUUGAGAAUUGCUGAGA
Long non-coding RNA from Gavialis gangeticus (Gharial), 980 nucleotides. RefSeq lists it as uncharacterized. The transcript has 3 exons. The record is from RefSeq and is a predicted model, not a curated record. NCBI's taxonomy places the organism in Eukaryota, Metazoa, Chordata, Crocodylia, Gavialidae.